Molecule: ribosomal RNA, 238 nt
Filed under: uncultured Alteromonadaceae bacterium
Lineage: Bacteria; Pseudomonadati; Pseudomonadota; Gammaproteobacteria; Alteromonadales; Alteromonadaceae
Description: partial 16S ribosomal RNA
Rfam family: Bacterial small subunit ribosomal RNA
Source: RNAcentral
UACCUCCCGUGUGUCGUCGUUAAUGCGUGCGUAGCGAAGCUAACGCGCUAAGUAGACCGCCUGGGGAGUACGGCCGCAAGAUUAAAACUCAAAGGAAUUGACGGGGGCCCGCACAAGCGGUGGAGCAUGUGGUUUAAUUCGAUGCAACGCGAAGAACCUUACCUACACUUGACAUGCCGAGAAGUUACUAGAGAUAGUUUCGUGCCUUCGGGAACUCAGACACAGGUGCUGCAUGGCU